This 179-nucleotide non-coding RNA is filed under the name Methylomicrobium sp. Its description in RNAcentral is "6S RNA". It matches the Rfam family "6S / SsrS RNA". From Rfam's summary of the family: E. coli 6S RNA was the first non coding RNA to be sequenced, but its function was unknown until recently. It consists of 184 nucleotides that fold into an extended hairpin structure with a large single-stranded internal bulge. Lineage: Bacteria; Pseudomonadati; Pseudomonadota; Gammaproteobacteria; Methylococcales; Methylococcaceae. The record is from RNAcentral.
UAUCUCCUACAGCGUUCGAGGAUGUGCUGGGUGUUUCCUGAACCUAUAUUUACCCCGGGAGCUGAUUUCUACAUUGGUGUGCAUACCCGUUUAUUCGGGGAGCCUGAUAAGUAGAUUGAGUUCCCACUUGAACCGUCGGUUCAAGGACGAUAGCGUGUUACGGCGCAAGUGGGAGAUAC